GUCCCUUUACCUUUACCUAUCAUGGUGCUGGAGGAGACUCUUGAGAGUCCCAUGGACUGCAAGAAGAUCAAACCUAUCCAUUCUUAAGGAAAUCAGCCCUGAGUGCUCAUUGGAAGGACAGAUCGUGAAGCUGAGGCUCCAAUACUUUGGCCACCUCAUGAGAAGAGAAGACUCCCUGGAAAAGACCAUGAUGUUGGGAAAGAUGGAGGGCACAAGGAGAAGGGGACGACAGAGGACGAGAUGGUUGGACAGUGUUCUCGAAGCGGGAGGUAGUGGAAGACAGGAGUACCUGGCGUGCUCUGGUCCAUGGGGUCACGAAGAGUCCGACAUGACUAAACGACUAAACAGCAAUCACAGGCAGGCUGCAUUUGCUGGGAGGAUUGUAUUCAAACGAACCUAUCGCAAGCAAGCUGCAUUUGAAUGGACCCAUCUCAGGCAAGCAAGGGGUAAGUGAGGCUUUGUGGCGGACCUGAGUGAAGACCAGGGGCUGAAGUCUGCUCACUGGGAGUAUAAAAGUCCUUGCCAUGGGCAUAGCCAAGGCGGCGGGGGGGGGGUCAGGAGGGUACCUGCUCUCCUAAAUAAAGCAAAUCACUAAAAAUACUUAACUAACUGAGGUUCUUCCUCUUCUAACAUAAAUCCUGGCUACGCCUGUGAGCCUUGUAUAUAUACAGCGGUACCUCGGGUUACAUACACUUCAGACUCCGCUAACCCAGAACUAUUACCUCGGGUUAAGAACUUUGAUUCAGGAUGAGAACAGAAAUCGUUCUCCGGUGGCACGGCGGCAGCAGGAGGCCCCAUUGGCUAAAGUGGUGCUUCAGGUUAAGAACAGUUUCAGGUUAAGUACGGACCUCCAGAACGAAUUAAGUACUUAACCUGAGGUACCACUGUACUUGUCAGCUCAGUCAAAGCUGGAUUUGGAGGAAUGAGGAAGCUCCAGAAAAGGCUUUGGAAGUAGCUGAAGAUCUGAAACUGAGCAGAGAUCGGCCCUGCAAAUGGUUGAAGACUGGAGGCCUAGGUUCAACCGGUUCUUUGGCAGAACUGGUAUUGUGAGCGUGAGUUCUUCAUCGAGCAGAGAAGGGAAGGAGUUUCCUUCACAGCCAAUCAGAAUGGCCUUACAUGAAAUCAUUAACAUUUUAAACUCUUUAACGUAACUGAAUCUGUAUCAGUUAGCCAACAAUCUGUUUUACCAAAUCGCAUUUGCUAACGUUUGCAGUUCCAUCUGUGCUGGCUCAGUUGGUUAGAGCGUGGUGCUGAUAAUGCCAAGGUCACAGGUUCGAUCCCCAUAAGGGACUGGCCACAUCUUCCUGCAUGGUAGGGGGUUGGACCCGAUGCUCCUCAGGGUCCCUUCCAACUCUACAGUUCUAUGAUAUGCCAAAACAGUUCUUUGAGUCUCCCUUUGACUUUGAGGCCCUGGGACAAAUUGCUUUCCUCCUCCAACCCCAAAUAAACCUUGCCCUCUCACAUCACUCAACUGUGUUUCUUUGGAUUCUCUGGAGAGGGGGAGCAACUAACAACACAGAUUAUGCCUGUAGCAGAGAUGUGUUGGAUCAAUGAAUGGCUAAUAGGCAAUUCAAACAAAAAUGGCUUUUUCUUUCAAUGCUCAGCUAAUGGAGCAAUUCAGGAGAGAAAGCCUUUCUCACUAAAGAACACACUGGUAGUUCUUUUACAGUCAAAGGACCUAAUGAAAACUGUUGAGUGUAUUUAGAAACAUCAGGUGUCUCAACAAUGAAAGUGCAGAUAAGCUAUGUAUUACUCAUUAUGAGAUGUUUAUAUGUACUUCCUUUUCAUAUAAUACUUUGUUUUUAAAUUGUGUCAGUUUUUGCUGCAAAUAAGAGGGUGAAGAAGCUGCAGAUGUGGUUGUUGGUUGGUUGGUUUGUUCAUUCCAUUUAAUCAGGUGCUAAUAAGCAUAAUUCUCUGUGUGAUGCACAAAAUGAAACAGAUUAAAAUCAUAGUUCCAAUAAAGCAAGACUCACUCAAGCAGUGAAUAAAACAAACUGUAAAAGCAAAACAGUCACCCCAAAACAGAGCUCGAAAGAGUAAAAACAUCAUAGCAGAAACAAAUUCAGUAUAGAAAACAAGUUGUAGAUGAGAGGGAAGUGGUCAGUUCUUUAUCCAAGUGCAUUCUCUUCCCCUGUAUAUUUUCUUUUGUGUUAACUGUGUUUCUUUGUUGUGACAUUGUUAUGUCUUAGCUGCCACGAGUUGUCUCAGUCUUUCGAUUGUUUGCAACCAUCCCCACUGAGGACUGUCCUGGGCUCCAGCCUUGCUAUAGAACUACUUCCUUUUGUACACACAAGUGACCCGCUUUCCCAGUUAUUCUGCCUCUGGAGUUUAAAAAGCCAUUUAGCAUUUCCAACUCAUCGAUAGCCAGUUGGGGUGCUCAAAAUACAUUGAAUUUUCCUCUGUGGGAAGCAGGUUAGCUGGUGCAGGUUAUUAAAAAGAUUAUAUAAUGCAAAGUGUACCUAAGCAGCUUACAUCAGAGUGUAAUAGAAAGGAAACAAACAAGAUACUUGUCAUUUCCAAGUUGUUGGUACUUGUAAAAACAAAUAAACACACAUGUGGAUUCGAGGAUGCCUAGAAUUGGCACCCCACUUGCAUCUUGAGGGUUAGAUUUGUUUUCUUCUGAUAAGCUCAGUGGGGGUGAGGGAAAGACAAGGAUUGCUGGAUGCCAGAGAGUGUUGGGAAUGAAAUUGCCAUAGAACAGUGGUUCCCCAUUGGGGGUCUGCAGACCUCAGGAAGUUGGUGGCACAUACCCAUCAAGUGUUCAGGACAUCCCAUUUGGAGGGGGUGCUCUUGCGUGGGUCAUGUGAUGCAUGCGGGAGCAUGGUCUGUAAGACGCAUGUCCUGGUUUGGGGAUCAUUAAGAUAAUGAUCCCAUCUCCGAAGAAAUUCAUUUUCUCUUCUUCUGUGCAGUCUGUGAAAUAUCUGUUCAGAUACAGAUGUAUAAAGUCAGGAUGGCAUGCUGAGAUUAUUCUAGGAAGCAUGCUAAUGCAUCCUGGGAACUUUUUGUCCUAUUAGCUGAGUUCCAUAAUAACUAUUUUCUAUUUUCUAUUAGUUCACAGCAAUGUGAUUUUAAGAUCUUACCAGCAUGCAUUACCCUCAAUGAGGGUUCGUAAUAAGCCCUAAUUUGCAGCUCACUUGGUUUACUAUUUCAUCUCUGAUAUGUGCUUUCAGCAUGGAGGGUUUUGUUACUUUAAGAAUCUACAAAUUAUUUAAUUAUUCUUUGUUGAAUCUCAGUCUUUUGAUGAAGGGAAACAGAUAGACCUCAUUUUCUUCCUUUAAUACACUUUUAGUUCUUUUGUCAGCCAGCAGACCAGAUAGCACCCUAGUCAAUUUCCUCCUUCUGGUGUAUUUAAAGUUUUGAAAUCAUUCUUGGUUGUCUUAAUGCUUUUAGUGAUGUGCUCCUCAAAGUCUUUAAUUUCUCAUUUUGUUUUUGUAUUCUUUCUUUUUUUCCCAUAGAGAUAAAUGUGUGAG
Molecule: non-coding RNA, 3470 nt
Organism: Podarcis lilfordi (Lilford's wall lizard)
Lineage: Eukaryota; Metazoa; Chordata; Lepidosauria; Squamata; Lacertidae
Source: the annotation of a GenBank genome assembly